AAUGAAUUGCCUGAAAAAGGAUUACCUUGAUAGGGUAAAUUAUGUAAUAAUACUACAUUCAUUAUA
RNAcentral lists this transfer RNA (66 nucleotides) under Rhinoestrus usbekistanicus. RNAcentral describes it as "tRNA-Ile". The record is from RNAcentral. Lineage: Eukaryota; Metazoa; Arthropoda; Insecta; Diptera; Oestridae.